CACCCGCCCUUACCAAAACCCUGUCCGCGUACCUCUCCAUGUUGCUUCCCCGGGACCAAGUGCGGAGCCCUUACGGUGGUGAUCGGGACCCCUCGUCUCACUCGCCGCUGGGACCGAGUACCCCGGGGAAGGUACCCCCCAAAAUCAAUCGCUCUGAACCAGCUGUCUGACASAGGCCCACAAGGCCUUAGGUAUACAAAUACUCUCAAAACUUUCAACAACGGAUCUCUUGGCUCUCGCAUCGAUGAAGAACGCAGCGAAAUGCGAUAAGUAAUGUGAAUUGCAGAAUUCAGUGAAUCAUCGAAUCUUUGAACGCACAUUGCGCCCUUCGGCAUUCCUUAGGGCAUGCCUGUUCGAGCGUCACUAAAACCCCCCCCUCACACUUGCUUGUGGUGGUGGCGUCGGUGGGUACUGGGUGGGAACCGUGAGUCCCCUCUUAACCCACCCCGCCGAAAUCGAUGGGGCGGACAACUGAUCUCAGCUGCUGACUUAGUAAAAAUCGACCUUGCAGGGCCCCCCGGGCCSGUCAGGCAUCAAUCAAACAGUCAGGAGUUAGGUUACGUCCCGUCCCUCAAUUGGACCCCCAUCCAAUACAAUAGACUCUGGGUUGACCUCGGAUCAGGUAGGGAUACCCGCUGAACUUAAGCAUAUCAAUAAGCGGAGGAAAAGAAACCAACAGGGAUUGCCUCAGUAACGGCGAGUGAAGCGGCAAAAGCUCAAAUUUGAAAUCUGGCACCUUUGGUGUCCGAGUUGUAAUUUGGAGAGGCAUCUUCGGGWGGGACCCAGCCUAUCUUCCUUGGAACAGGAGGUCAUAGAGGGUGAGAAUCCCGUUCUYGGCUGGAUGUUCCCACCCGUAUGUAAGUGUCUUCUACGAGUCGAGUUGUUUGGGAAUGCAGCUCAAAAUGGGUGGUAAAUUUCAUCUAAAGCUAAAUACAGGCGAGAGACCGAUAGCGCACAAGUAGAGUGAUCGAAAGAUGAAAAGCACUUUGAAAAUAGAGUCAAAAAGUACGUGAAAUUGUUGAAAGGGAAGCGCUGGAGACCAGACUCGGCCUUGGACAAACAGCCCCCCUUCUGGAGGUCGCACUUGUCCUCGGCUGGGCCAGCAUCAGUUGGGGUGGCGGGACAAAGGCCCGGCGAAUG
Molecule: ribosomal RNA, 1140 nt
Filed under: Geomorium beatonii
Lineage: Eukaryota; Fungi; Ascomycota; Pezizomycetes; Pezizales; Geomoriaceae
Description: eukaryotic LSU rRNA
Source: RNAcentral